GUAAGGAAUAUUGGUCAAUGGGCGGAAGCCUGAACCAGCCAUGCCGCGUGCAGGAUGACUGCCCUAUGGGUUGUAAACUGCUUUUGUCCGGGAAUAAACCUAAAUACGUGUAUUUAGCUGAAUGUACCGGAAGAAUAAGGAUCGGCUAACUCCGUGCCAGCAGCCGCGGUAAUACGGAGGAUCCGAGCGUUAUCCGGAUUUAUUGGGUUUAAAGGGUGCGUAGGCGGCGCGUUAAGUCAGGGGUGAAAUACGGUGGCUCAACCAUCGCAGUGCCUUUGAUACUGACGUGCUUGAAUCCAUAUGAAGUGGGCGGAAUAAGACAAGUAGCGGUGAAAUGCAUAGAUAUGUCUUAGAACUCCGAUUGCGAAGGCAGCUCACUAAGCUGGUAUUGACGCUGAUGCACGAAAGCGUGGGGAUCGAACAGGAUUAGAAACCCUAGUAGUCC
Molecule: ribosomal RNA, 445 nt
Filed under: uncultured bacterium
Lineage: Bacteria
Description: bacterial SSU rRNA
Rfam family: Bacterial small subunit ribosomal RNA
Source: RNAcentral